GACGAACGCUGGCGGCGUGCUUAACACAUGCAAGUCGAACGGAAAGGCCCGGCUUUUGUGGGGUGCUCGAGUGGCGAACGGGGGAGUAACACGUGAGUAACCUGCCCUUGACUUUGGGAUAACUUCAGGAAACUGGGGCUAAUACCGGAUAGAAGCUCCUGCUGCAUGGUGGGGGUUAGAAAGUUUCGGCGGUUGGGGAUGGACUCGCGGCUUAUCCGCUUGAUGGUGGGGUAGUGGCUUACCAAGGCUUUGACGGGUAGCCGGCCUGAGAGGGGGACCGGCCACAUUGGGACUGAGAUACGGCCCAGACUCCUACGGGAGGCAGCAGUGGGGAAUAUUGCACAAUGGGCGGAAGCCUGAUGCAGCAACGCCGCGUGCGGGAUGACGGCCUUCGGGUUGUAAACCGCUUUCGCCUGUGACGAAGCGUGAGUGACGGUAAUGGGUAAAGAAGCACCGGCUAACUACGUG
This 468-nucleotide ribosomal RNA is filed under the name uncultured bacterium. Its description in RNAcentral is "partial 16S ribosomal RNA". It matches the Rfam family "Bacterial small subunit ribosomal RNA", at positions 28 to 507 of the family's 1533-position model. The record is from RNAcentral.